RNAcentral lists this long non-coding RNA (278 nucleotides) under Sorghum bicolor (sorghum). RNAcentral's name for it is "long non-coding RNA (SBIC_LNC013645)". Lineage: Eukaryota; Viridiplantae; Streptophyta; Magnoliopsida; Poales; Poaceae. The record is from RNAcentral.
CGUGAGGUGGGUUAUUAUUUUCCCGCAUUUGAUUAAUCUGGUUAAUUUGUACCGGUUUUGUUUGAUGAUGUUGUUUAAAUUUCUUAUUCUUUGUUCUAAUUAUAGUGGGAGGGCAUCGGCGGAUGUAAAGGUUGGUACUGGGAGGAAGAGUACGUUCAGCACGUACAAAAUUCUGUUGCACAAGAGGUUGCCGUUGAAGGUGAUGAGGCAGUGAGCCAGCAAAAGAAGUCCAUCAAUGUUGAUCUAGCGGAUGUGCAGCUGUCUCUUUUAGUUGGGAU